CGCUGGCGGCGUGCUUAACACAUGCAAGUCGAGCGGUAAGGCCCUUCGGGGUACACGAGCGGCGAACGGGUGAGUAACACGUGAGCAACCUGCCCCUGACUCUGGGAUAAGCGGUGGAAACGCCGUCUAAUACCGGAUACGACCUUCCGCCUCAUGGUGGAGGGUGGAAAGUUUUUUCGGUCAGGGAUGGGCUCGCGGCCUAUCAGCUUGUUGGUGGGGUAACGGCCUACCAAGGCGAUUACGGGUAGCCGGCCUGAGAGGGCGACCGGCCACACUGGGACUGAGACACGGCCCACACUCCUGCGGGAGGCAGCAGUGGGGAAUAUUGCGCAAUGGGCGAAAGCCUGACGCAGCGACGCCGCGUGGGGGAUGACGGCCUUCGGGUUGUAAACCUCUUUUACCACCAACGCAGGCUCCGGGUUCUCUCGGGGUUGACGGUAGGUGGGGAAUAAGGACCGGCUAACUACGUGCCAGCAGCCGCGGU
RNAcentral lists this ribosomal RNA (484 nucleotides) under Nocardiopsis alba. RNAcentral describes it as "bacterial SSU rRNA". It matches the Rfam family "Bacterial small subunit ribosomal RNA", at positions 34 to 521 of the family's 1533-position model. The record is from RNAcentral. Lineage: Bacteria; Bacillati; Actinomycetota; Actinomycetes; Streptosporangiales; Nocardiopsidaceae.